AUGCCAACAAAACCGGCGUUGCUCAAGAAACAUUACAAAAUGCAAUUCGCAAAGGAAGCAAGGUCAUGACAGAGCAAGAAGCUAGACAGAUUCUUGGCGUGACAGAGGAAACUGCUUGGGAGGAUGUUCUAAAGAAAUACGACACUUUAUUUGAGAGGAAUUCUACGAAUGGUAGUUUUUACCUUCAAUCAAAGGUUCACAGGGCUAAAGAAUGUUUAGAGGCUGCGUACCGGGAUAAAGGCAACAAGACACAAGACUUUGAAUACCAUGACAAAUGAUUCAAAUUCAAUCAUUCACUGUGGAAAAAUAUGGAAGGAUCACCGCGAACAGCAACCGGCCUUUUGAAGCACUCCACCACAAGCGAGGAUGUUGACCAAUUAUAGCACUUCGAAGCACUUUUUAGUAUUAGUUUACUGCAAACAAUACAAUAGGAAGAAAUGGACUUGUGAAAUCAACAAUUCCAUAGACCGAAACAAGCAAAGUUCUGCUUGGAUCCACUUGACACGAUUUCUACAGGGGAGAAACAUUUUUGUGGUAAAACCAUGAAUGCGGAAAAGCAUAAAUCGGGUUUCGACAGUCCAAAACCAAUCCCAUUUUAAAAUUAUUACAUGCACAUAUUGGAUGUUGACAUGAUACAACAAGGAAUUUGGCUGCAUAUCGUGGCAAGACCCCUAUCACAUUUCUGCCUAUUAUGAACUA
Molecule: long non-coding RNA, 699 nt
Organism: Morus notabilis
Lineage: Eukaryota; Viridiplantae; Streptophyta; Magnoliopsida; Rosales; Moraceae
Exons: 4
Source: RefSeq, a predicted model, not a curated record